RNAcentral lists this ribosomal RNA (680 nucleotides) under Enterococcus viikkiensis. RNAcentral describes it as "bacterial SSU rRNA". It matches the Rfam family "Bacterial small subunit ribosomal RNA", at positions 363 to 1035 of the family's 1533-position model. Lineage: Bacteria; Bacillati; Bacillota; Bacilli; Lactobacillales; Enterococcaceae. The record is from RNAcentral.
CUUCGGCAUGGACGAAGUCUGACCGAGCAACGCCGCGUGAGUGAAGAAGGUUUUCGGAUCGUAAAACUCUGUUGUUAGAGAAGAACAAGGAUGAGAGUAACUGUUCAUCCCUUGACGGUAUCUAACCAGAAAGCCACGGCUAACUACGUGCCAGCAGCCGCGGUAAUACGUAGGUGGCAAGCGUUGUCCGGAUUUAUUGGGCGUAAAGCGAGCGCAGGCGGUUUCUUAAGUCUGAUGUGAAAGCCCCCGGCUCAACCGGGGAGGGUCAUUGGAAACUGGGAGACUUGAGUGCAGAAGAGGAGAGUGGAAUUCCAUGUGUAGCGGUGAAAUGCGUAGAUAUAUGGAGGAACACCAGUGGCGAAGGCGGCUCUCUGGUCUGUAACUGACGCUGAGGCUCGAAAGCGUGGGGAGCAAACAGGAUUAGAUACCCUGGUAGUCCACGCCGUAAACGAUGAGUGCUAAGUGUUGGAGGGUUUCCGCCCUUCAGUGCUGCAGCUAACGCAUUAAGCACUCCGCCUGGGGAGUACGACCGCAAGGUUGAAACUCAAAGGAAUUGACGGGGGCCCNCACAAGCGGUGGAGCAUGUGGUUUANUUCGAAGCAACGCGAANAACCCUUACCAGGUCUUGACAUCCUUUGACCACUCUAAAGAUAGAGCUUCCCCUUCGGGGGCAAAGUGAC